Long non-coding RNA from Trematomus bernacchii (emerald rockcod), 605 nucleotides. RefSeq lists it as uncharacterized. Lineage: Eukaryota; Metazoa; Chordata; Actinopteri; Perciformes; Nototheniidae. The record is from RefSeq and is a predicted model, not a curated record. The transcript is spliced from 4 exons.
CAGUGCUUUUUAGCAUCCUGGCCACAUUAUCAUUAUCACAUUAUCCUGGCCACACACAUGGCCUUUUUGAUCAAAGGGAGUGGUCACAGGGAAAGCUGCUGUGGCUGAACACAAUAGCCAGAUUCAAAGGACAAUCAUGGGAUGCAUUUGGGACUGAGGAGGACAUGGUUGUUUCUCGACUGGACUACCUUCAAAAAACAGAAAUAACCCAAACGUGCCAGAAUGUGGCUUGCCCUGUCGCCAAAAGGACAUGCAACUCAGUUGAUAUAAUAUGUGCAGAUUUUGGGAACAUACAGGCUGAUGUCGACAAGUGGGCGAAUGAGUCCCUAAAAGUUCUUCCUUGCAAGAGAGGUUUGAAACAAUGCACUUUUAAGGAGACAACAGUGCAGCGUGUCUUCGUGCAUGGAGAGCCUUGUAUUUUAUUACUUUCAGUAAUAAACCAGGGGAAGCUAACCAACAAGCAUCAUCCUACAGCCUUGCCACAUCUGGUUACAAUUCUUGGUGGAAUGUAUGAGCCAGCUGCUGUGACAUAUCACCUGGGGCCUGCAAAUCACUUUGUGGCAUUCCACAAAUUGGGUUUAGAUAGAAGCUGGCAUUUCUAUGAU